RNAcentral lists this ribosomal RNA (497 nucleotides) under uncultured bacterium. RNAcentral describes it as "partial 16S ribosomal RNA". It matches the Rfam family "Bacterial small subunit ribosomal RNA", at positions 28 to 508 of the family's 1533-position model. The record is from RNAcentral.
GAUGAACGCUGGCGGCGUGCCUAAUACAUGCAAGUCGAGCGAACAGACGAGGAGCUUGCUCCUCUGACGUUAGCGGCGGACGGGUGAGUAACACGUGGAUAACCUACCUAUAAGACUGGGAUAACUUCGGGAAACCGGAGCUAAUACCGGAUAAUAUAUUGAACCGCAUGGUUCAAUAGUGAAAGACGGUUUUGCUGUCACUUAUAGAUGGAUCCGCGCCGCAUUAGCUAGUUGGUAAGGUAACGGCUUACCAAGGCAACGAUGCGUAGCCGACCUGAGAGGGGGGGAGCCCACACGGGAAGUGAGACCGGCCACAGCCCCCGCGGGGGGGAGCAGGGGGGAAUUCUCCCGAAAGGGGGAAAAGCGGAAGGGGCAACGCCGGGGGGGUUAAUAAGGGUUUGGGAACCAAAAACCUGUUUUAUGGGGAAAAAAAAAUUGGGAAAGAACCUAGGCAGGUUGGGCGGGGCCAUAAUAAAAAGCCCAGGGCAACCUAGGGC